GGGGGCAUAGCUCAGCUGGGAGAGCAGCAGACUGAAGUUGCGAUAGACAUUACGCAUCUGAAUUCUGAAGGUCCCGCGUUCGAUCCGCGGUGCCCCCA
Non-coding RNA from Lyophyllum atratum, 98 nucleotides. NCBI's taxonomy places the organism in Eukaryota, Fungi, Basidiomycota, Agaricomycetes, Agaricales, Lyophyllaceae. The record is from the annotation of a GenBank genome assembly.